Cercocebus atys (sooty mangabey) is the source of this 83-nucleotide microRNA precursor. NCBI's taxonomy places the organism in Eukaryota, Metazoa, Chordata, Mammalia, Primates, Cercopithecidae. The record is from Ensembl.
GCUUGUCGCUGCGGUGUUGCUGUUGGAGACUUGAUUGUUGGUGACAGCGAAACAACGAUAACAAAAUGCCAGAGCGAGAUAGU